GAUGAACGCUGGCGGCGUGCCUAAUACAUGCAAGUCGAGCGAACAGACGAGGAGCUUGCUCCUCUGACGUUAGCGGCGGACGGGAGAGUAACACGUGGAUAACCUACCUAUCAGACUGGGAUAAUUUCGGGAAACCGGAGCUUAUACCGGAUAAUCUAUUGCACCGCAUGGUUCCAUAGUGAGAGUCGGUUUUGCUGUCACUUAUAGAUGGAUCCGCGCCGCAUUAGCUAGUUGGUAAGGUAACGGCUUACCAAGGCAACGAUGCGUAGCCGACCUGAGAGGGUGAUCGGCCACACGGGAACUGAGACACGGACCAGACUCCUGAGGUAGGCAGCAGUAGGGAAUCUUACGCAAGGGGCGAAAGCCUGACAGAGCAACGCCGCGUGAGUGAUGAAGGUCCUCGGAUCGGAAAACUCUGUUAUUAGUGAAGAACAAAUGUGUAAGUAACCAUGCACGUCUUGACGGUACCUAAUCAGAAAGCCACGGCUAACUACGUG
RNAcentral lists this ribosomal RNA (497 nucleotides) under uncultured bacterium. RNAcentral's name for it is "partial 16S ribosomal RNA". It matches the Rfam family "Bacterial small subunit ribosomal RNA", at positions 28 to 507 of the family's 1533-position model. The record is from RNAcentral.